This is a small nuclear RNA of Kogia breviceps (pygmy sperm whale), 106 nucleotides long. The record is from RefSeq and is a predicted model, not a curated record. Lineage: Eukaryota; Metazoa; Chordata; Mammalia; Artiodactyla; Physeteridae.
GUGCUUGCUUUGGCAGCACGUAUACUAAAUUGGAACAAUACAGUGAAGAUUAGCAUGGUCGCAAUGCAAGGAUGACAUGCAGAUUUGUGAAGUGUUCCAUAUUUUU